Molecule: non-coding RNA, 72 nt
Organism: Corticium candelabrum
Lineage: Eukaryota; Metazoa; Porifera; Homoscleromorpha; Homosclerophorida; Plakinidae
Source: the annotation of a RefSeq genome assembly
GGGGGUGUAGCUCAGUGGUAGAGCGUCCGCUUUGCAUGCGGAAGGCCUCGGGUUCAAUCCCCGACACCUCCA